This 1409-nucleotide long non-coding RNA is filed under the name Salmo salar (Atlantic salmon). RNAcentral describes it as "lncRNA (ENSSSAG00000097976.1)". The record is from RNAcentral. Lineage: Eukaryota; Metazoa; Chordata; Actinopteri; Salmoniformes; Salmonidae.
CUACUGUAGACCUUCAAUACAAAACAGUGUGUUUUAAUCAGUUAUUUGGUGAAUAUAUUUGGGAUAGUUCUAACUUAAUGUUUUGUUGUUUUUAUUUUGAUGAAAUCCACUGAGGAGGUUGGUCCAACCCUUCCUCCUCCGCGGAGCCUCCACUGAUGUGCACGCCUAGGUUCUUGAAGCUUUUCACCCUCCAAUGCUGCCCUGUUAAUGUGGAUGGGGGCGUGCAAUCUCUGCUGUCUUCCGAAGUCCACAAUCAUCUCCUUUGUUUUGUUGAUGUUGAGGGAGAGGUUAUUUUCCUGGCACCGCUCUGCCAGGGCCCUCACCACCUCCCUGUAGACUGUCUCAUUUUUGAUGGUAGUCAGGCCUAACACUGUUGUGUCGUCUGCGAACUUGAUGAUUGGGUUGGAGACGUGCGUGUCCACGCAGUCAUGGGUGAACAGGGAGUACAGGAGGGGGCUGAGCACGCCCCCUUGUGGGUGGAAUGGUAUCAGAUACAUCAAACACAUGCCAUACCAUUUGCUCCUGUCCAGUCAUUGUUAUGAGCUGUCCUCCCCUCAGUAGCCUCCACUGACCUCUGCCUUUCUUUUUCCUGGAGAGUUAUUUUUUUCCUGUCCCCGCUUGCUGUAUGGACGGGGACAGUAUAUCUGGAAAGAGCCAUGAUUCUGUGAAACAGAUUAUGUUACAGUCCCUGAUGUCUCUCUGGAAGGAGACCAGGAGGGGUUACGAACAGAGAAUCCGAUUCAGGAAAGUCUCAUUUCUGGUCGAAAUGCUGUAUUUGGGCAGUACAUAUGGCUAAGGGAGAGGACAUGCCCUAACAGAGCCCCAGGGACCACCAGGCCUUUGCAGUUCCAACAGUUCCCCCUCGCUCAAGCCAAGUCUCAGCCACUCAGCUCCCUCUCUCUCUGCUCGUUGGCCAAGUGUAAAAUGCUCCAGACCUCCAUGCCGGGUGUCUCUGCCAGCCUAGACAUGCCCAGCGAACAGCACCCAGGCUGUGGAUAAUUAAAUACAACCUCUCCCUGGGGACCUGGUGGGAGGAAUGUGGAUAGGCUGCAAAGCCCGGCUGACAUUUUAGCGAGCCAAUGUUACUGAUAUAAAUCUUGGCAGUUGUCAGAUUUUUUAAAAAGAGGGCUGUGGUGAAGCAAAGUUCCUUCUGUCAUGUCACUACACUGAACAUGGGGGAAAACAAGUAGAUUUGAAUUGACACAAUGCUUAGACCUGUAUUCACUUGAGUUAUUUCGUUUUUUUUCUUAAUGUCAAGGUUGCUAUCUAAUAAAUGAUGGAUGAUAUUUUUCACUUUUGCAAUUCAAAUCAAAUCAAAUUAUAUUCGUCAUACACAGUUUACAGCAGGUAAUCUGUAGCUAUCGUAGCCACAACCAAGUUUAUAGUAUUGUUAAGCAAUAAGUCCCAAG